This 499-nucleotide ribosomal RNA is filed under the name uncultured bacterium. RNAcentral's name for it is "bacterial SSU rRNA". It matches the Rfam family "Bacterial small subunit ribosomal RNA", at positions 28 to 573 of the family's 1533-position model. The record is from RNAcentral.
AACGAACGCUGGCGGCAUGCCUAACACAUGCAAGUCGAACGAGACCUUCGGGUCUAGUGGCGCACGGGUGCGUAACGCGUGGGAAUCUGCCCUUGGGUUCGGGAUAACAGUUGGAAACGACUGCUAAUACCGAAUGAUGACUCCGGUCCAAAGAUUUAUCGCCCAGGGAUGAGCCCGCGUCGGAUUAGCUAGUUGGUGAGGUAAAGGCUCACCAAGGCGACGAUCCGUAGCUGGUCUGAGAGGAUGAUCAGCCACACUGGGACUGAGACACGGCCCAGACUCCUACGGGAGGCAGCAGUGGGGAAUAUUGGACAAUGGGCGAAAGCCUGAUCCAGCAAUGCCGCGUGAGUGAUGAAGGCCCUAGGGUUGUAAAGCUCUUUUACCCGGGAUGAUAAUGACAGUACCGGGAGAAUAAGCCCCGGCUAACUCCGUGCCAGCAGCCGCGGUAAUACGGAGGGGGCUAGCGUUGUUCGGAAUUACUGGGCGUAAAGCGCGCGUA